This 669-nucleotide ribosomal RNA is filed under the name Triticum aestivum (bread wheat). RNAcentral describes it as "partial small subunit ribosomal RNA". The record is from RNAcentral. Lineage: Eukaryota; Viridiplantae; Streptophyta; Magnoliopsida; Poales; Poaceae.
AUGAAUAUGUCCCAGGCUGAUCAACUUGCUAUGUGGGAAUCAGUGAGGAAAAGAGAUGCGGAUAGUUAUAUGAAUAUCUCUACCAAGCUUAAGCUUGGACCGUUUGAAGAUUCUUUCUGGACUUCCUCGUUAGAGCCUCAACAAGGUUCUGAUGAGCCUGAAUCUCCUGGAUCUGUCAAACCAUGCAGGGUACCUGUUCGAUUAUACGUGCGCAGAGUUCAAGAAGACCUCGAGUAUUUAGAAGAUGCGAUUCCUGUCAGUGACUGGGAAGGUGUAUCCUAUAUAAACCGGCCAUUCGAGAUCCGAAAGGAGGGAGAUAGAAGGAUAACUACCCUGGAACAUGCCUUGGGGACGUUGCUACCAGAGUUCUUCAGCUCGAAGCCCACAGCUAAAGCUGCUGGUCCUGGACCUGCGGCAACGACGCCAGAGUCUGCACCCGACGAUUCAGAUACCACUCAAGGGACUCCUCGCGACAGAGAAGCAGCUUUGGCGAGUCCGGAAGAGAUGUAUGUGGCCAAGAAGGCCAGAGUGAAGCUGGUGCGGAUACAAGGCAUGGAGCUCGGCCUGGACAUGCCGUUCCUCUGGGUGGCCAACAACGAACCCCGAAUGCUUCCUCCAUGUCUGUGUAUACAUCGGCGCAUGAAUGUAACGGCGACGGAAGAAGAGUAG